AGUGGGAAACGUAGUGGGAAGGCUUAGACAGCUAGGAUGUUGGCUUAGAAGCAGCCAUCAUUUAAAGAAAGCGUAAUAGCUCACUAGUCGAGUCGGCCUGCGCGGAAGAUGUAACGGGGCUAAAACUAGUCACCGAAGCUGCGGCAUCAGUAGCAAUACUGUUGGGUAGGGGAGCGUUCUGUAAGCGGAUGAAGGUGAAUCGAGAGGUUUGCUGGACGUAUCAGAAGUGCGAAUGCUGACAUAAGUAACGAUAAAACGAGUGAAAAACUCGUUCGCCGGAAGACCAAGGGUUCCUGUCCAACGUUAAUCGGGGCAGGGUGAGUCGGCCCCUAAGGCGAGGCUGAAAAGCGUAGUCGAUGGGAAACGGGUUAAUAUUCCCGUACUUGGAUAAACUGCGAUGUGGGGACGGAGCAGGUUAGGUUAUCGCACUGUUGGAUAUGUGCGUUUAAGUUGGUAGGUGGGAAGUUUAGGCAAAUCCGGACUUCCUUAACACUGAGAGAUGAUGACGAGGCUCUAAGGAGCUGAAGUAACUGAUACCAGACUUCCAGGAAAAGCCACUA
RNAcentral lists this ribosomal RNA (560 nucleotides) under Streptococcus pneumoniae. RNAcentral's name for it is "partial 23S ribosomal RNA". It matches the Rfam family "Bacterial large subunit ribosomal RNA", at positions 1062 to 1623 of the family's 2925-position model. The record is from RNAcentral. Lineage: Bacteria; Bacillati; Bacillota; Bacilli; Lactobacillales; Streptococcaceae.